Non-coding RNA from Pelobates cultripes (western spadefoot toad), 261 nucleotides. The record is from the annotation of a GenBank genome assembly. Lineage: Eukaryota; Metazoa; Chordata; Amphibia; Anura; Pelobatidae.
UUUUUUUUUUUUUAAAUUGUGAAUAAUUAAUGGUAUUUUAAAUGCUACAGGAGGCUGAAAUCAACAUACAAAACCACUAUGAAUAUAUAUACAAUUAUACUGCGUAAUUUAAUUACAUUUAAAAAAAGGCAUACAAGUUGUUGGUUUUUUUUUAAAAAGAGAGAAUUUACUGGACGUGUGACAGAUAUGUGAAACAUUAUAAAGGGUUAUACAAUAGAGCAAUGUAAACGUACAAGUUAUAGAUUUGAGGUUGUCUUGGAG